This 1546-nucleotide ribosomal RNA is filed under the name bacterium enrichment culture clone E30. Its description in RNAcentral is "partial 16S ribosomal RNA". It matches the Rfam family "Bacterial small subunit ribosomal RNA". The record is from RNAcentral.
CAGAGUUUGAUCCUGGCUCAGAGUGAACGCUGGCGGCGUGGAUUAGGCUUGCAAGUCGUGCGAUCCUUGCUUGAAACUCAUUGGAGUGCUUGCACAAAGAUGAGCGGAUAGCGCUGGAUAGCGGCAAACGGGUGAGUAACGCGUGAGUAACUUGCCCUUAAGACAGGGAUAGCUUCGUGAAAACGGAGGUAAUACCUGAUGUGCCCCUGACAUCUCAUGAUGAUUGGGGUAAAGGCGGGGACCGUAAGGCCUGCCGCUUAGGGAUGGACUCGCGUCCUAUCAGCUUGUUGGUGGGGUAACGGCCUACCAAGGCGUUUGACGGGUAGCUGGUCUGAGAGGAUGGUCAGCCACACUGGGACUGAGACACUGCCCAGACUCCUACGGGAGGCUGCAGUCGAGAAUAUUUAGCAAUGGGCGAAAGCCUGACUAUGCGACGCCGCGUGAGGGAUGAAGGGUUUCGGCUCGUAAACCUCUUUUGUCAGGAAAGAACAUUUCAUGGUUAAUAGCCAUGGAACUGACGGUACCUGACGAAUAAGCCACGGCCAACUCCGUGCCAGCAGCCGCGGUAAUACGGAGGUGGCAAGCGUUACUCGGAAUCAUUGGGUGUAAAGGGCAAGUAGGCGGACUAUUAAGUCAGUGGUGAAAUCCUGCAGCUCAACUGUAGAACUGCCAUUGAUACUGAUAGUCUUGAGUUUGGUUAAGGUAGGCGGAAUGUGUAAUGUAGCGGUGAAAUGCUUAGAUAUUACACAGAACACCGAUUGCGUAGGCAGCUUACUGAGCCGACACUGACGCUGAGGCACGAAAGCGUGGGGAUCGAACAGGAUUAGAUACCCUGGUAGUCCACGCCGUAAACGAUGAUUACUCGCUGUUGGCGAUACACUGUCAGCGGCUAAGCAAAAGCAAUAAGUAAUCCACCUGGGGAGUACGGCCGCAAGGCUGAAACUCAAAGGAAUUGACGGGGGCCCGCACAAGCGGAGGAACAUGUGGUUUAAUUCGAUGAUACGCGAGGAACCUUACCUGGGCUUAAAUGUAGAGUGCAUUUUCUAGAGAUAGGAAUUCCCUUCGGGGCUUUCUGCAAGGUGCUGCAUGGUUGUCGUCAGCUCGUGCCGUGAGGUGUCGGGUUAAGUCCCAUAACGAGCGCAACCCUUAUCGUUAGUUGCCAGCUGGUAAAGCAGGGGACUCUAGCGAAACUGCACCGUAAGGUGAGAGGAAGGUGGGGAUGACGUCAAAUCAGCACGGCCCUUAUGUCCAGGGCUACACACGUGUUACAAUGGCCGGCACAGAGGGCAGCUACCUGGUGACAGGAUGCUAAUCUCGAAAACCGGUCUCAGUUCGGAUCGAAGUCUGCAACUCGACUUCGUGAAGCUGGAUUCGCUAGUAAUCGCGCAUCAGCCAUGGCGCGGUGAAUACGUUCCCGGGCCUUGUACACACCGCCUGUCACACCAUGAGAGUUUGUAACACCCGAAGUCAAUAGCAUAACCGNCAAGGAGUGCGUUGCCGAAGGUGGGACAGAUGAUUGGGGUGAAGUCGUAACAAGGUAACCGUA